Molecule: long non-coding RNA, 429 nt
Organism: Selaginella moellendorffii
Lineage: Eukaryota; Viridiplantae; Streptophyta; Lycopodiopsida; Selaginellales; Selaginellaceae
Exons: 2
Source: RefSeq, a predicted model, not a curated record
CAAGCAACCUCCAGUUCCCAACACUCCCGUGAUUGCACCUCCGAUUGCUCCUGCAAAAAGGAAGGAACGAGCUAACAUAUGGAUCACCCCGAGGUACCUUUCCCUGCUUCUUCUUUGCAGCCACCAAGCAAGAAUCUUCGAGCUGCCUGGUGAUCGCCAGAAGAGUUUGUGAGCAGUAGUUGCUGCUCGAGUUCCAAGCGCUUCUUGUAGAGGCUUUCCACGUCACUGCCGGUCAUGUACACACCACAGCCAGUUCUUCCAGCGUUGCUUGGGCAAACAAUCUGCACUCUUGCGGCCAUAGUUGUCUGUGAACACGAACUGCGUUCCGGAUGAAUCUGGAGCGGCACCACAGCCACCGGUUGCGACCACCUAGAGAUAGCUUCCAGUCGUCAGCAAGAGAAAGAUUAACGUAACAAAGGUACUUAUCUA